Molecule: ribosomal RNA, 169 nt
Filed under: uncultured bacterium
Lineage: Bacteria
Description: partial 16S ribosomal RNA
Rfam family: Bacterial small subunit ribosomal RNA
Source: RNAcentral
CCUACGGGAGGCAGCAGUGGGGAAUAUUGGACAAUGGGCGCAAGCCUGAUCCAGCCAUGCCGCGUGAGUGAUGAAGGCCUUAGGGUUGUAAAGCUCUUUCAUCCGGGAAGAUAAUGACGGUACCCGAAGAAGAAGCCCCGGCUAACUUCGUGCCACCAGCCGCGGUAAU